CUCCGGGACCUAUGCGGCGGGAACACCGUGAACCGGGUCAGGCGGGGAACCGAGCAGCCCUAAGCGGUCGACUCGCGUGCUGUAGGACCACCUGGAGCAG
Molecule: signal recognition particle RNA, 100 nt
Filed under: Lentisphaerota bacterium
Lineage: Bacteria; Pseudomonadati; Lentisphaerota
Description: Lentisphaerae bacterium (anaerobic digester metagenome) signal recognition particle sRNA small type
Rfam family: Bacterial small signal recognition particle RNA
About the family: The signal recognition particle (SRP) is a universally conserved ribonucleoprotein involved in the co-translational targeting of proteins to membranes. Archaeal SRP consists of a 7S RNA and homologues of the eukaryotic SRP19 and SRP54 proteins.
Source: RNAcentral